CACCUACGGCCGUGUGACUGUAAAUAGCCACCCGCUAGACCCGCUUUAUCAACUGCAGAUGUGGUGCGAUUAAUUAACUCGAUGCAGCCUCUCCGCACAAGCUGCUUAACUUCAACCCAUUGCAGUUCUGGUUUACUUAGCAGAUGCGGCCCAGACUGUUACCUCCCUCUGGAGGGGCCGUCCAGGCAGAUGAAUUCAUUCGUUGGUGUUUGCAGAGCGGCAGGAAACCUAAAAAAGCAUUAGAUGUUGCCCCUAGAAGAGGAUUUCCUGAGUGGCUCUAGAUGGCCCUGAAGGUGAAAUGCAGGCCCCAGGGCCACGCUCCAACACAGCUGAGUCACAGCAUCUUGGAUGGACUCUGGGGGUCUGUAUUUUUAACAAGCUUCUCUUAUGCCCUGGAUGCCCACUAAGGGCUGAGAACCGUGUGUCCAGGUGGAAAGGCCCAGGGUCCUAUUUCCUGACAUCCUCUUAAGUGCCAGUGGCCGAGCGAGGGGAGAUCGAGCCUGUUAAAGACCUGAGCCUCCACUGCUUUACGCGAGUCGUAUUUGCUGGGGGUUCAAUGUGUGCCAGACGCUUCACCCUCCCCAGGCCCGAAUCUGCAUUCCUGUUACGCCCAUUUCACAGAUGAGGAAACUGACCUCGGGAGGCUCCGUGGGCUCCUGCAUCACACCUGUGAAAGGCGAUUCAUCUAGGCCCCUGCCUUUCUACUGAAGGCUGAGCUGACCCGUGGCCUCCCAGAAAGAACCGUGUGGGGAGUGCUUCCCACACCGGAAACAAACGUCCGACUUCACAGACAGUUCAGUCUGUGUGGUCUCCUUCGCCCUGGGCUGUAUCGGCCUGUGUUUCACCCCUGAGGGCGUCAGGUCAGACGGCAGCCCUUGGCCUGGUGUGCCAAACCCACUGGGCGGGAGACCCCAGCCUUUCUCCGCUGGUUUGGGGAUUCGGGAUCUUUUUUAAAAUUAUUCAACACUAAAGAUAAAUCAGAAGUCUGUGACCAGUUUGGGGCUUUCUGUUGAGACGUUUCUGUGUUGUUUUACGUACAAUGUGUUUCUUUUCCUUAACAUGAAUGGGAAAAUGCUGUAUGUAUCAAGCCUGCAGUCAACCUUUUCCACGUGAUGAUUUGUCUUAGGCUUCCUUCUUCAUCUGCCUGGUGGUUCUUUCUGUUUUCUUCUGCAGUUUUAAUAGUAAAGGCACACUGGAGAAGUUCAGUGAUGAGAGAGGAAGGAAGAAUAUUUCUUAAGCAUAAUUAAAGAUUAAAAAAAUGCUAUUUAUUUUGGAAUCCAAGUUUGGAAAUACUUGUUUUUUUCACUGUGGUUAAAUAUCUGUUACAUAAAAUUGGCCGCUUUAGCCAUUUUUCAGUGCACAGAUCAGUGACAUUAAGGACAUCCACGUUGUUGUGAAACCAUCGCCACCAUCCAUCUCCACACCUUUUCCUUCUUCCCCAGCCGAGCUCUGUCCCCACGGAGCACCAACUCCCCUCCCUCCCGCAGCCCAUUCUCCCUCUGUCUCCGUGAAUUUGACUCCUGUAGGGACCUCGUGUGAGCGUAAUCAUACAGUAUUUGUCCUCUUGCGCCUGGCUUGCUGCACUUAGCACCCCUUCUUCAAGGUCCUCCAAGCUACAGCACGCGUCAAACUGCCCGUCACUUUUGAGGCUCCAUAUGUACGGACGGACCACACUUUGUUUACUUGUUCAUCUGUUGAUGGACACUCGGGUUGCUUCUACCUUUGGGCUAUUAUGAAUAGGGCUGCUGUGAACAUGGGUGUGCAAAGAAUUGUUCGAGUCCCUGCUCUGAGUUCUUUUGGGUGUUUACCCAGAAGUGGAAUUGUUGCAUCACAUGGUAAUUCUAUGUUAAGCGUUUCUUUUUUUUUUGAGGAAGAUUAUCCCUGAGCUAACAUCAGUGCCAAUCUUCCUCUAUUUUGUAUGUGGGACACCACCACAGCAUGGCUUGAUGAGCGGUGCAUAGGUCUACACCUGGGAUCUGAAUCUGUGAACCCUGGGCUGCUGAAGUGGAGCACACAAAUUUAACCACUGUGCCACUGGGCUGACCCCUAUAUUAACUAUUUUUUUAACUAUUACAUAAUAUUCCAUUAUAUCUUUUGUGUGUUUAUUGGCAAUUUAAGUUCUCCUUUCUGUAAACUGCCUAAUUCUGGUAUGAUUUUUAAUGGGAUUUUAGGUGAUCUUUACAUAAUCUGGAUAUUCUUUCUUUUAUCUGUUAUAUCUAUGGCAAAUUAUACACAUUUAAAAAUAAACUUCUACAUCAUUCCAGA
RNAcentral lists this long non-coding RNA (2265 nucleotides) under Equus asinus (donkey). Its description in RNAcentral is "lncRNA (ENSEASG00005024453.1)". Lineage: Eukaryota; Metazoa; Chordata; Mammalia; Perissodactyla; Equidae. The record is from RNAcentral.